RNAcentral lists this unclassified non-coding RNA (377 nucleotides) under uncultured Actinomycetes bacterium. RNAcentral's name for it is "uncultured actinobacterium contains 16S-23S intergenic spacer region". Lineage: Bacteria; Bacillati; Actinomycetota; Actinomycetes. The record is from RNAcentral.
UCCGACUUUUCGCCGGCAGUCUCCCUAGAGUCCCCGGCAUUACCCGCUGGCAACAUAGGACAAGGGUUGCGCUCGUUGCGGGACUUAACCCAACAUCUCACGACACGAGCUGACGACAACCAUGCACCACCUGUAUACCGACCUUGCGGGGACUGCAUCUCUGCAGCUUUCCGGCAUAUGUCAAACCCAGGUAAGGUUCUUCGCGUCGCCUCGAAUUAAGCAACAUGCUCCGCCGCUUGUGCGGGCCCCCGUCAAUUCCUUUGAGUUUUAGCCUUGCGGCCGUACUCCCCAGGCGGGGCACUUAAUGCGUUAGCUACGGCACGGAACCCGUUGAUGAGGCCCCACACCUAGUGCCCAACGUUUACGGCGUGGACUAC